UUGAACGCUGGCGGCAGGCCUAACACAUGCCAGUCGAACGGUAACAGGAAACAGCUUGCUGUUUCGCUGACGAGUGGCGGACGGGUGAGUAAUGUCUGGGAAACUGCCUGAUGGAGGGGGAUAACUACUGGAAACGGUAGCUAAUACCGCAUAACGUCGCAAGACCAAAGAGGGGGACCCUCGGGCCUCUUGCCAUCGGAUGUGCCCAGAUGGGAUUAGCUUGUUGGUGGGGUAACGGCUCACCAAGGCGACGAUCCCUAGCUGGUCUGAGAGGAUGACCAGCCACACUGGAACUGAGACACGGUCCAGACUCCUACGGGAGGCAGCAGUGGGGAAUAUUGCACAAUGGGCGCAAGCCUGAUGCAGCCAUGCCGCGUGUAUGAAGAAGGCCUUCGGGUUGUAAAGUACUUUCAGCGGGGAGGAAGGGAGUAAAGUUAAUACCUUUGCUCAUUGACGUUACCCGCAGAAGAAGCACCGGCUAACUCCGUG
Molecule: ribosomal RNA, 489 nt
Filed under: uncultured bacterium
Lineage: Bacteria
Description: partial 16S ribosomal RNA
Rfam family: Bacterial small subunit ribosomal RNA
Source: RNAcentral